This 87-nucleotide transfer RNA is filed under the name Cordylochernes scorpioides. RNAcentral's name for it is "tRNA-Tyr". It matches the Rfam family "tRNA". From Rfam's summary of the family: Transfer RNA (tRNA) molecules are approximately 80 nucleotides in length. Their secondary structure includes four short double-helical elements and three loops (D, anti-codon, and T loops). Further hydrogen bonds mediate the characteristic L-shaped molecular structure. tRNAs have two regions of fundamental functional importance: the anti-codon, which is responsible for specific mRNA codon recognition, and the 3' end, to which the tRNAs corresponding amino acid is attached (by aminoacyl-tRNA synthetases). tRNAs cope with the degeneracy of the genetic code in two manners: having more than one tRNA (with a specific anti-codon) for a particular amino acid; and 'wobble' base-pairing, i.e. permitting non-standard base-pairing at the 3rd anti-codon position. The record is from RNAcentral. Lineage: Eukaryota; Metazoa; Arthropoda; Arachnida; Pseudoscorpiones; Chernetidae.
CCCUCGAUAGCUCAGAUGGCAGAGCGGAGGACUGUAGAUGUUACAACGGUGAUCCUUAGGUCGCUGGUUCAAAUUCGGCUCGAGGGA